GGCGUCGAGCGGCGGACGGGUGAGUAAUGCCUAGGAAAUUGCCCUGAUGUGGGGGAUAACCAUUGGAAACGAUGGCUAAUACCGCAUGAUGCCUACGGGCCAAAGAGGGGGACCUUCGGGCCUCUCGCGUCAGGAUAUGCCUAGGUGGGAUUAGCUAGUUGGUGAGGUAAGGGCUCACCAAGGCGACGAUCCCUAGCUGGUCUGAGAGGAUGA
This 213-nucleotide ribosomal RNA is filed under the name Vibrio parahaemolyticus. Its description in RNAcentral is "partial 16S ribosomal RNA". It matches the Rfam family "Bacterial small subunit ribosomal RNA", at positions 87 to 303 of the family's 1533-position model. The record is from RNAcentral. Lineage: Bacteria; Pseudomonadati; Pseudomonadota; Gammaproteobacteria; Vibrionales; Vibrionaceae.